This is a long non-coding RNA of Epinephelus fuscoguttatus (brown-marbled grouper), 4591 nucleotides long. RefSeq lists it as uncharacterized. Lineage: Eukaryota; Metazoa; Chordata; Actinopteri; Perciformes; Serranidae. The record is from RefSeq and is a predicted model, not a curated record. The transcript is spliced from 4 exons.
GUCAUAGUAUAGAAUGUCGUCAAAAAUCAUGAAAAAAGUCAUAGUAUAGCAUGUCGUCUGAAAUCAUGAAAAAAGUCAUAGUAUAGCAUGUCGUCCAAAAUCAUAAAAAAAGUCAUAGUAUAGCAUGUCGUCUGAAAUCAUAAAAAAAGUCAUAGUAUAGCAUGUCGUCUGAAAUCAUAAAAAAAGUCAUAGUAUAGCAUGUCGCCCAAAAUCAUGAAAAAAGUCAUAGUAUAGCAUGUCGUCAAAAAUCAUGAAAAAAAUCAUAGUAUAGAAUGUCGUCAAAAAUCAUGAAAAAAAGUCACAGUAUAGAAUGUCGUCAAAAAUCAUGAAAAAAGUCAUAGUAUAGCAUGUCGUCCAAAAUCAUGAAAAAAGUCAUAGUAUAGCAUGUCGUCCAAAAUCAUAAAAAAAGUCAUAGUAUAGCAUGUCGUCCAAAAUCAUGAAAAAAGUCAUAGUAUAGAAUGUCGUCCAAAAUCAUGAAAAAAGUCAUAGUAUAGAAUGUCGUCAAAAAUCAUGAAAAAAAGUCAUAGUAUAGAAUGUCGUCAAAAAUCAUGAAAAAAGUCAUAGUAUAGAAUGUCGUCCAAAAUCAUGAAAAAAGUCAUAGUAUAGCAUGUCGUCCAAAAUCAUAAAAAAAAGUCAUAGUAUAGAAUGUCGUCCAAAAUCAUGAAAAAAGUCAUAGUAUAGCAUGUCGUCCAAAAUCAUGAAAAAAAAGUCAUAGUAUAGCAUGUCGUCCAAAAUCAUGAAAAAAGUCAUAGUAUAGAAUGUCGUCCAAAAUCAUUAAAAAAGUCAUAGCAUAGAAUGUCGUCCAAAAUCAUGAAAAAAGUCAUGGCAUAGAAUGUCGUCCAAAAUCAUUAAAAAAAGUCAUAGUAUAGCAUGUCGUCCAAAAUCAUUAAAAAAAUCAUAGUAUAGCAUGUCGUCCAAAAUCAUGAAAAAAGUCAUAGUAUAGCAUGUCGUCCAAAAUCAUGAAAAAAGUCAUAGUAUAGCAUGUCGUCCAAAAUCAUGAAAAAAGUCAUAGUAUAGCAUGUCGUCCAAAAUCAUGAAAAAAGUCAUAGUAUAGCAUGUCGUCCAAAAUCAUGAAAAAAAGUCAUAGUAUAGCAUGUGGUCCAAAAUCAUGAAAAAAAGUCAUAGUAUAGCAUGUCGUCCAAAAUCAUGAAAAAAAGUCAUAGUAUAGUAUGUCGUCCAAAAUCAUGAAAAAAAAGUCAUAGUAUAGUAUGUCGUCCCAAAUCAUGAAAAAAAAGUCAUAGUAUAGCAUGUCGUCCAAAAUCAUGAAAAAAAGUCAUAGUAUAGCAUGUCGUCCAAAAUCAUGAAAAAAAAUCAUAGUAUAGCAUGUCGUUCAAAAUCAUGAAAAAAAGUCAUAGUAUAGUAUGUCGUCCAAAAUCGUAUAAAAAAAAGUCAAUGUAUCGAAUGUUAUAAAAUGUCAUAUCAUAGAAGUUAUAUCAACAUAUGUAAAGUAAUAUUAGAUUUGUGUGUUGCAUGUAUUAUUUUAACCAUCCUUUUACUUCCAGUAGUCUAUAUUCAAUACUCUGCUGCUGAUAGGGCUGGACGAUUAAUCGAAUUUUAAUCAUGAUUUCGAUUUUGGCUUCUCACGAUCAUGAAAACAUUAUAAUCGAAGAAAAACGAUUAAUGCGCCGCACGGCGCGGCGUUUAUGUAAGUUCCUGUGCUGGAAAAGCACUGUGAAUGCACUUGUGCAGCAGCAGCAAGUGUGUGAUGUGUGUGGAUCAAUAAUAUGUGGAGCGAGCGAUUGAGAACAUGGCAGAAAGGCAGCCUUUGGUUGAGAAUAAAGGUAGGACAACUUCAGUCAUCUGUCAUUGUCACGCUGUCGUGUCUGCCCCCCAAGGCAACAGAAGCAGAAAAAAAAAGUCCAAAAAAGUUAAUAACUUACAAUUUAAGGUGAAAAGGUAGUUUCUUGCAACCCUAGAAUUCAGAUAAAAAUAUUCACAAACAAAAAAACACUUCUGGUUGCUGAUAAGUAGUGUGUAACUUCUGAUUUAACACUAAAAAUUAAAACCCUCAGCGCACUGCAGCGCAAGCAGACAGAUGGGUGAGCAGCAUGUGUCACUGACACCAGACCGGUGGAACAUGUCACCAUCAGCAUAUUAUUUUUCAUCAAUAAAAUCUAUUUUAUCAUUAUUUUGAGUCACAUUGUUGAAAGAAUUUAGCUGUCUGUGUUCAAGCAGGAUAAUAGGUCUCCAUUCAUUGCACGUCGGGCUUUCUAUUUCCUUGUCGGAGAUGGUGUUGCGUUCAAGGUCCCCCAAUAAAUGGGAAGGAAAAAAGGCAGAAUAUUCGAUUUUUUUUUCACAGUCGAAUCCCGUGCUAUCAAACUUGGGUCAGCCCUAGUAUUUAUUUUUAUUUAUUGUUUUUAUUGCUAUUAUUAUUAGGGGCCAAGCCCGAGGGGCUGAGGGAACGCGUAUGCAAGCAGACACGUUUCCUAGGACCAGCGGUGCUAGGAACCCUAUUGUUUUUGUAAAGAUUUUUAUUUUUAUUCUUCCGUAGGUAAAAGUGGUGCUGCAGGCUAAACCGUGCAAGGGAGGGCGGUGCAAUUUGGAGGGGUGGUCCAGACCCCUGCACGUACCUCAGACGCAAAAAACUAUGUAUAUCUGCCUGCAGGGGGCGCUAUAACCUAGGCCAAUGCGUUUUUGCCUAUAGCUCCCACACCGUAUGUCGCACAUUCAAAAAUCUUGUAUCCCCAGCUUCCCUGAAUAGAGCUGAAUCACUUUGCCAUAGGCCACGCCCACUUGCGCCUAGGAAGUUUUUUCGCAAAAUCACGAAAACUGGAAAACCUACUUUUUCGAACUUCUCCUUGGGAUUUUGUCCAAUCUGCGUGAAACUUGACAUAUACACUCUUCUACUGGACCUGAUCUAAAGUUAUCAAAAGAAUUUUAUUCGGUCAAAAAAUCCGCAAAUUAUUAACAAACAAACUUCUAUAGCUAGCUAUAAAAAUGCUGUUGGACUGUUGGAUAUCUCGGUCAAACUAAAUGCUAUUAACACCAAAUUUGAGAUCAUUGGUUGGCAUAAGACUGUGAGGGUAUGAGCCGAAUUUGCCGAAUUUUGGCAACUAGGGGGCGCUACAAAUAUGGUAAGUUUAUAUCUCUUGAACGACUGCACCGAUUUCUACGAAAUUCGGUUGGUAUGAUGUAGGGCCAAUUCUGAGGUCACAUCUUGAAGCUGGUCAUGACUGGUCAAUGUGGGCAUGGCUUAUUACAAGAUAAACAACAAACAUUAAUUUCAGCCAAACUAUUAUGCUGAGGGCUUUGAAAUUUUAAGGGUACAUAUAGAAUAGGACACAGAUAUUCCGUACCAAAAAUUGCACAUGUACUCCACUAGGUGGCGCUAUAACGGAUGCAAACGUGUUUUUGUGUGUAACUUACACAUUUUAAAUGACACAUUCAUAAACAUUAUAUCCAUGUGUUCCCUGAAUAGAGGUGGGUUUUCUGACACAGGCCACGCCCACUUCUACUGCACAUUCUCUUUACUAAUUUGCCACAUGUCCAAAACCUACUUUUUCGAACUCCUCCUACAUUUUAAGUGCCACCUACCUGAAACUUUGCACAUUGAAUCUCCAGAUGUGUCUGAUGAAAAGUUAUCAAAAGAAUUUUGGCACUCCAAAAAAUGCGCUUGUUACAACCAAACAAUCUUUUUUGCUAGCUAAAAAACACAUAUUGUUUCAUAUUUCACUAAACGUAGAUGCUUUCAACAUCAAACUUAAGUCACUCGUUCCCGAGGUCAUCCAGAGGCUUUGUGCCAAAUUCGUCGAAAAUCGGUCUAUAGGUGGUGCUAUAACGGAUGCAAAGGCAGUUUUGCCUGUAACUUCCACAUUUUAAAUAACACAUUCAUAAACAUGCGCUCGCCCAGAGCCCGUCGUCCUUCGGGGACAACUUCCAUGGGCUCCACGGGACGCAGGGACCGAGUCGCACGGGGGGGCUUGGCCCCCGUUCAUAACUGCUUGCAGUUCUAGUUUUAAUUUAUUAUUAUUAUUAUUAUUUUUAUUUUUUUUUACUUGUUUACUUGUUACUAAUUUAUUUCUGGCUGUUCUUUUAAGUUAUAAUUAAAGUUGAGUUUUGGUGGAGUUUUGAAAUCAAUGAAUAAUUGUGUUUAUUAAUCGUGAUUUCAAUAUCAAUCAAAAUAAUCCUGAUUAUUAUUUUUGCCAUAAUUGUCCAGCCCUAGCUGCUGAAUCAAACUGGGCUCCACUAACAUGCUCAGGUCUGCUGAGGCUGACGUUAAAGGCUGAUGAAUUUUAACAUCUCAUGGUGGAUGUGACACAAACUCUGUGCAGACAGAACCUACUGUACCUGCGCAUCACAUCACAUCACAUCACAUCACAUCACAUGCCUCACCUGUCUGCUCUAACAGCCAGAUGAGUAAAUAACACCAGAGAAAUCAAUGUUUCACAGUAUAUCCCAUCAACAUGACUGACUGCACAGGGAACCAGUGAAAUGACAGAAAUGACAAACAAAAAACGAGGAAACACGAAAGAGGAAACAUUUGAGAGAAGUCAGACUGAGUGUCAGUCCCUGCAGGAGGAGAGCUUUCACAGUAAAGAAUGAACAAAGCUUAAAUAAUCAGAAUGUGAUUGUAAUGUAAAGUAUAAAGAUU